ACUUGUGUAUAAUAUUAAAGUACAUGCAAUUAGAACUUUAACAACAAGUGAACACAUGUACCAGCUUGGGGACCAUCCCUGAGGAAAAGAACAAAAUCUUGUUAUAGUUACUCCUCUCUGUCAAGUCUUCACUCAGACGUGGAAGGCAAUUGCUGGAAGAACCUUUGUGGACUUCUGUCUCAUAAGCAGGAUACAGAAAGUGAGCAAAGGACUCACUACCCACUGGUAAGCAAAAAUCCACCUUUACAGGAAUGAAAGAAUACGUAAAGAUGCAAUCCAGCACAAUCCAUAGUGAGAUGUCUGAUCUUCUCUCAUGUAUCGUAAUGGAUUGCAUUUGUUUCUUCAAGACCUUUAAAAGUUGUAUUUACAGGUGAAAUUUCAUAGUGACAAAGGCCUUGCUUUGUUUUCUUAUAAUUCAUACUCACAAUGACUACAAGGGCUGCUCCAAAAGUAAUGCCUCCUAUUUUAUUAUGUUGGCACACAACAUCACAGGUAUAUGUUGGUGGUAUGGCAGUAGAGGUUGAACCUUUCCACAACAUCCUGUUACAUUUUGUUGCCUUGUGACAGAUGG
Molecule: non-coding RNA, 571 nt
Organism: Phasianus colchicus (ring-necked pheasant)
Lineage: Eukaryota; Metazoa; Chordata; Aves; Galliformes; Phasianidae
Source: RefSeq, a predicted model, not a curated record